RNAcentral lists this long non-coding RNA (1985 nucleotides) under Bos indicus x Bos taurus (hybrid cattle). RNAcentral describes it as "lncRNA (ENSBIXG00000024649.1)". Lineage: Eukaryota; Metazoa; Chordata; Mammalia; Artiodactyla; Bovidae. The record is from RNAcentral.
CCCAUCAUCAUCUCUUUGGUUGCCAAGCAGUCAUCCAUCCCGAGUGCUACCGUAGCAAUCUCUCUCUACGUCCAUUGAAAUACUUAUUACACACUGCAGGAGGACUGAAUGCAGCCCUUGGGUAUAAAAGGACAGCUCCAGGGGCGGUUUUCAUUGUUGUAUUAUUCCCUUACACCAUGACUCUGGGAUUUUGCAACUAAACCAUGUUCAUAAACGUGUGUUGAACUGCAGGCCAUUUCUCCGCGGGGGAGAGAAAAUCUUUAAGGGGUCUCCGGAAUUAAACGUGACAGCCAAGUCACCCUCAAGUACGUCGCAUGCAGCACCAACACUAACCCCUGGGCGGCGCACUUGCGGCUCGGCCGCCGGAGAGUGUGAGUGGCUCCCGCCAGGGAUUCACAGCUCACCAGCUAGGCCGUUCACGGGGGCGGGGCCUCACGCCCCUCAGCCCGGUCGGGACCGCCCUUGAGCGGGUCCGGUGGGCGCCACCCUCGAAAGGUGGAAUCUGAGAAGGCCGAAGGCUGAGGAGCCGACGGAGGGGUACCUGAUAAGACCCGCCGGUUAGGGCCAGCUCCGCUAGGACCGCUCGGCCAUUUGCAAUGCAGCUGUAGGUGAUCGUCAUACUGGGCGAGCUAAUGAAGGAAGAGCUCCCGCCACAUCUAACCGCCCGCAACAGUCUCGGGGCGGUGACUGGGGCGGGGCUUCGUGAGAGGACGAUGUCUGCGCAGGCGCGAGGGCCGGUUGAUUGGCAGGCAGGGAGGCGGGGCCAUCUCUUGCCUGGGCUGAAACAGAUGAAACCGGGCGAGGUCUCUGAAAAAACUGGGUUUGGCUAAUGAUGACAAUAUGACCCGAUGCUGGUCAGUGAGCUGCCAGAGACGUCUGCUGGGAUACAGUUGGGAAAGACGUCUUCCUGUUGGAGAGAUUUGUCUGAGGUCAUUUUUCCCCUCUUCUGGGGUUAUGUUCUGUGAGGUGAAGACAUGAUAUUUGGAGUUGUUGUAGCAAUCUUAAUACCAUGAGACAACCAACCAGAGGAUGACAAUCCAGUGUGUUGAGGCUCUCAGAGCAAAAGGAUGGAAGGAGCCUGGGACCUCGAAGACAUCGCCGAGCUGCUGGACCAAUUCUUGAACAGUGUGUCUUCAGACUUACGACUUGAAAGGGUUAUGUGUAUGUCUUUAUUGUUUAAACCACUCUAAGUUGAGCAUUUUGUUAACUGUAGUCAUAAAUAUACAGAUGUACUCUUAAUUUACCUUUUCUUUGUCUCAGGAAGAAUUUAAGGUCCUCCCCCCCCCCCCCCGCCUCCCCGCACCGUCCCGGUACAGUGUGAUUAAAGAAAUUUGAAAUAGGUAAAAAAUGAUGCAACAUAAAAACAUAAAGGGAAGGAAGGAAAGAUGGGAUGAGGUCUGAUGUUAACACACAAAAAGUGUGCCAUGACAUCCAAUAUACUUUCUAGAAGAGUGCUAACGUUUUAUUUUGUGGUCAAAGAAAUACCAUCAGAGCACAAUAUUCAGAAGUUUCUCUUAAAAGUUUGUUGAAUAAGUAAAUGCUAGUACCAGCCCCCAGGGGAGGAGCUCACACCUCUCUUCCCUCUACAGAAUGAGAUGAUUUUAGCCUGGAAAGGAAGAGAACUCAGUGACCAGGCAUUAAGACUGAGGCAUGAGGGGACUUCCCUGGUGGCCUAGUGGCUGAGACUCUGCGCUCCCAAGGCAGGGGCCUGGGGUUUGGUCCCUGAUCUGCCUUCCCAGGUGGCGCUAGUGGUAAAGAACCCACUUGCCAAUGCAGGAGACAUAAGAGACAUGGGUUUGACCCCUGGGUCGGAAAGAUCCCCUGAAGGAGGGCAUGGCAACCCACUCCAGUAUUGCCUAGAGAAUCCCAUGGGCAGAGAAGCCUGGCAGGCUAUAGUCCAUAGGGUCACACAGAGUUGGACAUGACUGAAGAGACUUAGCAUGCAGGCAGGGAACUAGAUCCCACAUGCUGCAAAUAAAAGUUCA